Long non-coding RNA from Lycium ferocissimum, 1228 nucleotides. RefSeq lists it as uncharacterized. The transcript is spliced from 2 exons. The record is from RefSeq and is a predicted model, not a curated record. Lineage: Eukaryota; Viridiplantae; Streptophyta; Magnoliopsida; Solanales; Solanaceae.
UAUUUGUGUAAGGGCAGGGGUAUAUUUGCACCAUUUUAUAACGGCAAGGGUAUAUGUACAACACUUUUUAAUGGGGUUAUAUCUGUUCUAAGUCGCAAAGUUGAGGGGUAUAUUUGCACCUUUGUCCCUUAAAAAAAAAAAAAUUCCCCAGAAGCAGGGAUCAAAAACAAGAGCAUGAAAACAUGCUAAUUUUGAAAGGUAGCCAUCCUCCUAACUAUGUUGGCAAUAUGAGAUAUGGUAAAUUGUUUUGGGUGCUCAGAUUGAGAAAACAAGAGCAAAAUUUACUUACAAAGUGUACUUCUCCGCGCUUCACGCAAUUUUUGGAAAAAAUAAAUAUUGAGAUAAAAUCUCAGCAUGUAAACAUUGUUACAUUUGUCGAACAAAAAGAACAACAAAUACUAUAAAACGUCCAUUGCGCGCUAUGCUCCUAGAUAGUUCAAGCGAUGAAUCAAAAAGAACUACUCCACCCAUGACCAAGAACUUAUUACAAUGAUUUUGUAUUUAGUGAUAUGGCAUCACUACUUGAUCGGUGACCCAUGAGAGUUUUAUACAUAUCACAACAGUUUACUACUGAAUCAAAAAUGAAGAUUUGAGUUGUUUAAACAUUCUCAAUGUUACUAUCUCUCAUCAUCGGGGAAGGAAUAGGUUGUAGAUUAUGCGUUGAGUGGGAAGCCUACAGAUGAUUUUGGUUGAGUGUUACACCAAUUGUGCGACCAAUAGCGAUUAAUGUUCAGACUUUAAGAUACUGACAUGAAAAAAAAAUGGCAUGAUGAUCUGAGGAAAUGAGGCCUUGAACAAGCUCGCGGUUAAAAAGUUGAAUACAUUCAAGGUGCAUGAAUUGAAGUUGUAUCGAGGUAUCUAGGUUAUAAGGUGAUGUUACUCGGUAUAGAAUUGACUUGAAUUGACCUAGUUACAACUAACUAAAGUCACCCCUAUUUAUACUUCUCUAGGGAUGGUUUUAGAUACACAAGAAAAUUUUAGUUAACCUCCUAAAUAUCUGACAAGAAUUUAGAACUUCUAGGCAUAUCUUAAAGAUAAGUUUCCAAGAUAUUAAAUUCCCUAGAUGAUCACCCAAGUGUGGGGAAUUGCCUCCAAAUAUCACUUUUGUUUCUUUUAUGACAGCAAACUAGCAAAGUCACCCAAGUAUCACUAUUUUCCUCAAAAUAUAUUAAACACCUCAAAAGUCUCAUUCUCUCCUUUUUGGCAUGCCAUGUCAUUAAAGUUUUUU